Scatophagus argus is the source of this 1133-nucleotide non-coding RNA. Lineage: Eukaryota; Metazoa; Chordata; Actinopteri; Scatophagidae. The record is from the annotation of a RefSeq genome assembly.
AUUUCCUCGGUCAAAAUGAUCUCAGUCUUCACCACCUUGACUUUCUGUAUGCUUUGGGCUACAGGCUUCUCUCAGUCUGUGCUGAUCACUCAGUGGCCCCCCUACAUCUCCAAUCUUUCCAGUGGCUUGGCAGAAAUGCAUUGCUACCAGAAUAAUACAGAUUAUCAAUAUCUGUACUGGUAUAGGAAAGGAGGAAAAGGUUUUCAGUUAAUAGUGUACAUAGUAGCAGGCAACGCAAACUUUGAAGAAGGAUUCAAAUCUGGUUUUCAGGCAGAAUCGAAGGACAAGAAGUGGUCUCUGACAAUAUCCAGCAUUCAGAAGGAAGAUGAGGCUGUUUAUCUGUGUGCUGCCAGUCACACAGUUUCACAGUCAGAAGCUUACUUUGGAGCUGGAACUAAACUCACUGUCUUAGAAGAUGACCGUAAACCUGAACCACCAACAGUGAAAGUGCUUCCACCUUCGUUAAAUGAGUGUCGGAACAAAAAAGACAGCAAAAGAAAGAAGACCUUAGUUUGUGUGGCAAGUGAAUUCUACCCAGACCAUGUCAGUGUGUUCUGGCAGAUCGAUGGGGAUAAUGUCACCGAAGGUGUGGCGACAGACGACGCUGCCCUGCGGCCGGAGGGUGAAAGGAAUUACAAAAUCACCAGCAGGUUGAGGGUCCCUGCCGAGUCUUGGUUCACACCCACCCGAGAAUUCAAGUGUCUGGUCCAGUUCUACAAUGGAAAGGAUUAUGAGAUUUAUGAAGACUCCAUUAAUGGUGUUGAAGCUCCAGCUAAAGGAAAUGCUAUAACAAGAGAGAAAUAUCUGAGGGUCACACAGACGGCCAAACUCUCCUACGCUGUUUUCAUCGUCAAGAGCAGCAUCUAUGGAGCCUUUGUGGCGUUUCUGGUGUGGAAGCUUCAGGGAAAGCAGAACAACUGACAGCUGAGCCGAGGCUGAACAAAUGAAGUCUGGGAGAUCAGAAAUGUUGGUUCCUGUAAAUACACAUUGAAAAGUUUUAUUUCCACACCUGUUUGUUAGACAAGGAAAUUCUUGUUAUCUUAAAGCUACUUUGGCGUUUCUAUAAAUGCUCUUUUGUGGUUGUGAACGGCUUGUUUGCUUCAUUUUCUUCUCAAUAAAAGUAUUUCCGAGGA